This is a long non-coding RNA of Heterocephalus glaber (naked mole-rat), 2113 nucleotides long. NCBI's taxonomy places the organism in Eukaryota, Metazoa, Chordata, Mammalia, Rodentia, Bathyergidae. The record is from Ensembl.
UGAAAGUUGAAGCUUAAGUGUGAGUUGCUUUCUCACACCAUCACUUGUGGCUGAAAACUUCUGAAGCCUCUUGGAUAACAGGAGCAUAUAUGACACCAGGAAAAAUCAUCCUAUACUGUAGCCCACGCGUGGAGCUCAGUGCUGCCACCUGGACCAGACAGCAGUGGCAGCAGAAAGCACACACGGACACUGGCACUGUGUCACCAGGUAGACCCACAGCUGUCCUCCAGCUGCGUCUGUCACCAGUACCCGGUAAUCAUAUCUGCAAAUUUCUCAGAGAUGGAUGAAAGAUAUCCAGCAUAUGCAGAGCUGAAGAAAUCUCUUCCUUACAAGAAGCACAUUCAAAUGAAUAACAAAAAAGAGGAACCAAUUUACUCAGAAGUGGAAGAAUGUCCUUCAAAUUCCAACCAAAUAAAGAAAAAAAUUGAAUCAUCUGAAGAAAAUGGGUUCUCAGUUCCCUUAGCCUGGCGCCUCACAGCUGUGGUUCUUGCUGGCUCGUGUUUCUUCCUCCUUUCAGCAACUGGAUUUUUGGGUUUCAUGGCAGGAGAAAAACUGCCAUCUCCCGAAGAAAGGAAGCAAAAAGGGUACGUGUAAAGUUAAGUGGUCAUGCUGUGGAGAGAGCUGUUAUUAUUUUUCACGGGGAAUGAAGAACUUUGAAGACAGUAGGAAACUCUGCAAAAAAAGGACUCCACACUUGUUAAGAUAGAAGAUACACAGGAACUGAACUUUAUUCAAAGCCAAAUAUCUUAUUUCUCUUGGAUUGGGUUGUCCCGUGAAGGAACCAGCACACCCUGGACAUGGGAGGAUAAGUCACAACCCUCUCUUGAAAGGUUCAUUUUGACUUUAAGGAAGAGUCAGAAGUUGUAUGGUGCCAGUUCUGGUGAACAAGAUAAAUGAGGGCACACCAGUGUUUUUACAAGCCUGCCCUUGCAUUGGACAGUACUCACUCUGCAGCCGCAUUCACCAUACUUUUGACCACAUCGUGAAAGAGGACUUCCAGAACUUCUACAGAAAGUGGGAAGGACAAGAACGAUGGGAUAAGUGUAAUCAAAGGAAGGGGGAACAUUUUGAGGAGGACUAAUGGCAAAGUCUCUUUUACUGUAAUAAUAUUUUAAUUUAAAAUACACCACAGGUUUUGAUCACACCUUCUAUAAACAUGUACCAUUAUCUACCAUAUCCAAUGAAUACAUACAAGUAAUGUGUGUCAUUUCAAAACUACCAUUUGAAUUUAAAACUAAAUGUUUUAAACUUCAAAAAAUAGUUUGUGAUAUGAAUCUAUAAUGACCUGCACAGUUUAAAUAAAUUUCAGGAAGACAUGCUCCACCCCACAAAUAAUGAGGAAUGUUUCAUUUGACAAAAGAUACCCCCUUUAUUGGCAAAAUGAAACAGCUUGAUAACACACAGUAAAGAUGUAGGGAACCAGACACUUGUGAGCACUGGAAAAGAUAUGACAACUGCAGUGGAAAGUAGAAAUCAAAUAUCUAUUAAACUUAAAAUACAAAACUACAAAUUACAAUCCUAGAGAUUUAUCAUACCAAUAUCGCUAUGUCCAGUAAAAGUGUACAAAGUGUUGUUACAGUAUUUUUGCACAAAUGCAAAAUUCUGGAAUAAAUCUAAAUAGUCAUUGAAAUAAAACUAGUUGAGUAAAUUUUGGUACAUAUAUUACUAGUACAGUAUAAUGCUUACAAAUGUUUACAAAAAGUGAAGCAACUCCUUAUGUACUGACAAGAAACAAUCUGUAAGACUUAAAAGUUAAAAAGCAAGAUUAUUGUUUAUACUUAUGUAAUACAUGGUUUGCCAGGUAAUGUGUAUAUUUGUACAUUCAUACAGUAUCUCUGAAAUAUUACCUGACAAUAGAUAAUAGUUGUUUGCCUAUAACAAGGAGACUAGGUGAGUAAGCAACAAAAUAGGACAGGGCAAUUUGGUUUCAUAGCUCAUUGUUUUGUUCAUUUUAUAUUUUAAACAAUAUGAAUAUUACUUAUCUAUCAUAUAAAUUUAAUUAAAUUAUUAAGAAAAUAAAUAAGAUCUUUUAACCAAUCAAAAUAAAUUUCUUCCAUGUUUUCUCAUUUAUCAAUUCUUAACAUUUCAAAAUAUACACUCACUUCUUGAAUUU